Fukomys damarensis (Damara mole-rat) is the source of this 7380-nucleotide RNA transcript. It is a transcript of the gene named ATP synthase c subunit lysine N-methyltransferase, with no coding region annotated. NCBI's taxonomy places the organism in Eukaryota, Metazoa, Chordata, Mammalia, Rodentia, Bathyergidae. The transcript is spliced from 6 exons. The record is from RefSeq and is a predicted model, not a curated record.
AGCGGCCUUCGGAAACUUCCAUCAUUCAAGUAGUUGUGGGGGGGAUUUGAAGACACGGUGGGAACUUUUAGUACCCUAAAAGUACCCGAGUAGUUAAAUUUAGUCACUUAUUAAAGCUUAAUCGCUGAGGGCUUCUGAGUAGCGAGUCCCAAUUAGGAGUUCCUUUACUUCAAAAACUUUUUCUCUCUUUCUUCCACCCUGACUCUGAGAAGGUGGUAGAGCCCACUUCCGUAUUUCGCUCUCCGGGAAAUCUCGCGAUGGAGGGAGGAGGAGGUGCACCCUUGGAAGUGCUCCGAGAAGAAAGGCCGUGUGGACAUGGUGUCCCUCCGAGUCCCGAAGCCAGUAGUGUGAAGGGAAGCACUUGGGGGCUGUUCUUCACUGGUGUUGUUGGCGGGGCUCUCUUGGCCGUGUAUGCUGUAGCGACACCAUUUAUCACACCAGCCUUCCGGAAGAUUUGCCUGCCUUUUGUACCUGCAACUGCAAAGCAGACUGAAAAUGUGGUGAAAAUGCUGCGACACAGACGAGGGCCCCUGGUGGACAUUGGCAGUGGUGAUGGACGCAUUGUGAUAGCAGCUGCAAAGGAAGGAUUCACAGCAGUUGGUUAUGAAUUAAAUCCAUGGCUGGUUUGGUAUUCCAGGUACAAAGCUUGGAGAGAAGGUGUGCACGGCUCAGCCACAUUUUAUAUUUCAGACUUGUGGAAGGUUACCUUUUCGCAGUACUCGAAUGUGGUUGUCUUUGGUGUGCCCCAGAUGAUGCCACAGCUGGAGAAGAAACUUGAACUUGAACUUGAGGAGGAUGCGAGAGUCAUUGCCUGCCGGUUCCCUUUCCCGCACUGGACCCCAGAUCACAUCGCUGGAGAUGGAGUGGACACUGUGUGGGCUUAUGACGUGGGCACUUUUAGGGGAAGGGAGAAGAGGCCCUAAAAGGCCAGCAUCUUCAGUGGACCAUUCCAGUGGAGACUGUGGAGCCUGCACCUCUGAAAUGCUGGUGGUCGUCUUCCAUUAGAGACUUAGUCAUGUUAGCAACGGCUUGUUGUCCUGUGGGACUGAAAAAAAUUACUGUUUCUUUCCAAACAGAAGUUAAGAAAACCAGGCAGGUUUAAAAUCCACUUUUAAUGGAAUAUUCUAAAAAAAGUGCAUACUGCCUCAUCGUGCACGAGGACAUGUGAAAAUAUGAGGAAGUCACGGUCAGAUUCAGGGGCUUUGAAGAUACUCAGCAACUUUUUACAUCGUAAACAAUAUGGCCUAACGCCAUGGAUGAGAAGACACGGAUUUUAGAGUGUGUGGAUUAGCAAAUGUUUGCAUUUUCCUACAGUUUUAUUCUUUUUUAAGAUUUAUCUCUUUUCUGUACUUUAUGGAAAAAUUAAUUUUCUGGAGAACUUGGCAAGGCAUUUAGAUUUAUGGCAUUUAUUAGGCAUCAUUUGCUCCAAGACUAGCAGUUGCUGCAUGUUCUUGAGUCUAACGUGUAUAUCCGCAUGUGUAUGUGUGUGUGUGCAAAUGGUGCAUAUAGAUGUGUAUUUUAACAUUUCUGGAAUUGUGACAUAUCUUACACAUGAAGGCGUUUGUAGCUUUAAAUACAAGAGACUUGAUGAAAUACAGCACUCAGACAGGAUUCAUGAUACAAUGGAAAACUAGUAAUGACUGAGGAGUAAAAUGAGCAGAGCGUGGAAGCACAGGCUUGUAAUCUCACUUGGGAGGCUGAAGCAGGAGGAUCCCAAGUUUGAAGCCUGCCUGGCAUCUUGGGGGGGUAGGGGUGUAGCUCAGUGGUAAAGUGCUUGUCUAGGUCCUGGGUUCAACUCUUACUACCGCCAAAAAAAAGAUAUAAUAAACAACUGUGAGCGCUGACUUGAGCCCAUGUGGGUACAGAUCCCUGCUCUGUCAUCAGCAGGAGUCUUGGAUGAUGGCUUCUCUCCCCCAGCCUUGGUUUCCUGAGCGUCCCACUAGCUGGAUUAAUGACACCCAGCACAUGGUCUUUGGUGUGUAAUGGUAUUUAUUAUUUUAGACACUAAGGAAAGCUUGUCCAUGGAAGUUGGGAGCUGCAGUUUACUUCUAGUUGCCUCUUCAUUUUAUGAGCAAGCAUUUAACAUUUCUCAUUUAUGAGAAGAGACUUGACUGAUUCAGAUAAAAGACAAGGAGAGCCUCUAGCUAUGAGGAGACAAGCUUCACAUACCUGAAAGAUGAACACUGAGUGGUGGCUCAGACAAUCUCAGAAAAGAAUGAAACUCUCUCAUAAACCCGUCACCUAAAUUUGUCUUCAUGGAAUGAGUACAAAUGAAUGUUCGCACCUUGAACUAAACGGUUUGCGGAGUCCGUGCGAGGGAGCACCGCCUGGGGCCCGUCAGUCACUCGCCACCCCUCGGUGUGCCGCGUGUCCCCUCUGCAGUCCGCUCUGCCCUCCCACAGUGAAGGGGCUCCCUGCACCGUGGCCUCAUGGAGUUCCUGUUCUAGAAGGGGAGACAAAUAAAUAAGCAAGUUUCUAUGUGUGAACUCUCCGAAAGAAGUUGCAGUUACACGGAGAGCAACUGCACAUGUCUUGGCUGAGGGAUGGGUUGUUUUGGAUGUUUGUCAUGUGGUUGGCUCCUACCGUCCACCCCUUUUCUCCAAACCCCAAUACCCUCUGGAGAGUGAAUUCUCUUCAGCUCUUAGUGUCUAUCUCUCCUUGCCACCUUGCACUCUAACCAGGCCUGUAGUUUUUCUGGGUGCACUUGGAAAAGGACCCAUAGUUGCUUCUGGAAUAUGGAUGUGGCUGACAGAGGCAGGGUUUGUGGAACAUCGGAGAUAUUCAGGUUUUCCAGAAGUUUCUCUGGUGGAUUUGCAGAGCCCUCAGUUUUGUGCAUUCAAUAAUAACUUUCUUUUGAGUCUCUCCUUUAGCUCCCAGAGAAUUAGAUGUUGCUUGGUUCUACAACUUCAGAGUAAAAUUGUAGAGAUGUUGUGAUUCACAGAGUCUGUAGGAUCUGGAAUUGCUUUGUAAAAUUGUGGCUGAUAAAGUAAACUGCAGUAAGGAUUUUCCCUCUCACAGCUGCUGCUGCUGCUUCUCUCUCCUACUCUUCCUCUUCCUUUUCUCCUCCUCCUCCUCUUUAUCAAUUAUAUGGUUAAGGACACCAGUCAAAUUUGCUUAUGAUACAAGGUGGGGAGUGAGAGCUACUGUGUCUGGUGCCAAAGUUGGAAUCAUAAAUAUCCAUACAGAUUGAAAUCAGAGGCCAGUUAUUUACCAAGUAUGAAGUUAAACUUGAUAAAAUUUAAAGAAGGAUCAAUAGGGGACUGGUGAUAUAGCUCAGUAGUAAAGUGCUCAGAGGAAGGAAGCAAGGAGAGGAGCUAGUUUAGGGUCUAUUUUUGCCAUGCAGGAACCUGGAUGGACAGAUCCUAAGGUUUCCAUUGACAUUUGAGCCAAUGAUUUAAGAGUGCUCCCCUCCAAAUGCAUUUUUCUCUGAAGCACAGUGCCCAGGAUGUGACCCCAGGUGUGCCAGCUGAGCCUCAGACCCUUGGCAGUUUGGGCUUUCAGACUCCCUCAAAUGUUUCGUGGUACCCAGUGCACAUGAAACCAGUUCUCAAGAUUUAGAAAGGAGGCUGUCUUCCAGAUACACCGCGUUUCUUCACCAUCUCUGGGAGACGGUGUACACUAUGGCAAGUUGUAGUCAAACAAUAAGAAGCAGUGCAAGAUCCUUGACAUUGAAAUCACCUGGCUGCAUGCCCUCCCUCUGCCAAAGGACCUUCCCUGGUGCCGAGGCCGUGAAACACUUGGCUGUGGAGAAAGAUGUUCUGAGGUCCAGGAGUCUGGUAGCCUGGAUGUGACAGGUGUUCUCAGCUUAGCGUUGGCUGCUUUAGCCCUGGCUGAUACACCGUGGGAAAGGUCUCUUGGUCACGGCGGAGCACAGACAGGAGUCUGCUGAGAUCUCAGCAAACAGGAAACACACUCCUUGGCUGUGAUAUAUCUUGUCACCCUCGUAGCCAUACCUGACCUCGUGUGCCAGCACUUUACUAAGAGGUCCGGAGUCAUCUGGGCCACAGCGUGUCCUCCCCCAGCAGGGCAGGCAGAGCCGCAGGCCUCUGACGCAGGCAGCCCGUCCCGGAGCAGGGCACGCUAGUGGGAAUGAACAAGGUGUGCAAACCUGCUUGCUUCCUACCUGAUGGCCGUUCUCCCUGGCUUGCUAGCAGAAUCCUGCUUUUCAGGUGUCUGGCAUUGAUGUCCUCAGGGAAGAUGGCCCAAGCACUUGUCUCCCUCUUUGCCACGGGUGCCAGGGUGGUUGGCUGGCUAGUGGGCACAUGAACGGCUGCUGCUGCUGCUGAGAAGUGGGGGAAGUCUGUGCGGAGCUCAGGAAGGGCCUGAGAGACAGAUGCGUAAGGAGCAAGUGCCCUUCCUGGCUUUGGAUGUGCUCUGUACCAGAAGCUUUAGCAGCCCUUCUGUAGCCAUGAGGAAGUGUAGACAUGAAAGCUGAGAUGUGCAGCAGACAGGAAGAUGCAGUGCUGAUCCUAAUGAUGGUGCUGAGCUGCUGAGCCAACCCGGAAGCCCCCCGCUCCGGGACACCUAAAACAAAGAAUGGGACAAGGUCUGUCUACGGACUGUAUUACCCACGCCAUCCAGAAAAUUUUACAGACGCAAGGAGUUGAGGCAGUCUGGCUCGCGACAGAAAGCAGCAGAAAACAGAAUUCUCCUACCUGCUAGAAAAUGGGUGUAUGCAACAGUGCUGGUGUAGUUUAGAUGUGAAACGAUGCCAAGGCCUCACGUGGUUGGCAGGUAAUCGUGGGGCUUAUAUCUGAUCUGCUGAGAGGUGGGGCCGUGCUGCCCUGCCUUGGAGCCAGGUGACCGUGGACUGAGAUUUCUACAAACUGUGGACCAAAAUGAACCUGUCCUUUAGCUCCAGUCGUCGGGGAUUGCAUCCCAGUGGAGAGACAGUGACUACACAGUAUAUUCUAAGCAGGACGGAAUUAACCCCACCUCACAGGUCUUCUCCACAUAAAGGCAGUCUAAGACUGACAUUUCACCUGUGUUGGAAAUCUAAUACCUUUGGAAAUGCAUCCGUGUCGGUUUGCUGGAGCUGCUGUAAGGGGACGCUGCAGACCGGAUGCUCAAACAACAGGACUGUGUUUCUCUACUGUGCUGGGGGCUGGAAAUUGGAGAGCAGGGCUGCAGCAGGGCUGGUCUCCCGAGGCCUAGCUCCUUGGCUUGCAGUUGGCUGCCCCUUUGCCAUGUCCUCACAUGGCCUUCUGUGUGCCGCUUCCCAGUGUCCCAAUGCUGCUUUUAAUAAGGACACAGUCGGAUCUCAUUAGGGCUCACACCAAGCACCCAUGUGAACUCAUUCACCUACUUAAAGGCCCUGCCCCCAGCACAGUCACACCCUAAGGUUUGGACACCUGAAUUUGGGGAGGACACAAUUCCGCCUGUAACAACCAUUGCACAGCCACCUUUAUAGUGAAUUUGGACCCGGCCUGUGGGUGCGUUAGCGGGAGAGGAGCUGUGCACCUUCUGCUCCAUCCACACUGUGGCUGGGCCGGCUGUGAGAGAGACUGUGCAGGGCACAGGAGCCAAGUGCUGUGACUUUCACAAAGCCGAAACAGGCAGGCCUCUGCAGUGGUGCGGGGGAGCAUCACCGGCCCGCAGAAGGAGGAGUGUCAGUGGGAGACUGCCUGAAAUGGUCACAGCUUGGAAAUGAGAGCAGGAACAGAAGCAAUUCUUGUACGUGGGCCGAGCCCUUGGACAGUCCAGUACGCACUCAGCUCAGCAGUGCUGAGACACCUCAGCAGGAGAGUUUCAAAAAUGGCACGGGUUCUGAGGAGCACUGGAGAACUUACACGCACCGUGUGGCAAGCCCAGGACGGGGCCAGGCAGGGUGCCUCUGGAGGAGGAGCAGCCACUCCUUUUGCAGCUUCUUAAAACAGCAGAAAGGGCUCCACAGCAAGAGCCACUUCCUCGCAUGCUGAAGGUUCCACUUCUACUGUCAGGAUUCAGAGCUAUGCUCCCCUUGUCUAGGGAAACUGGAUGAAUCACUGUGGCUUCUGUGUGAUUCUGACAUCAUUCCUCUGUGCAGCAGCACUGUGGGAGCUGCUUGGUGUCAUAGCAACAGGUUGCAGCAGAACAGGCUGCCAGUCAAGGGCAAGAGCCAAGGCGCUGCACUGUGUGACAGUUACUUUCAUUUAUGUAAAAAAGGUCAUUUCUUUGCUCACCCUUGCACACUUACCUAUGCGCACACACAUACACAAGCUUGCAUAUCCUACCACAAAUACUCUAUCAAUAUACAAUACAUCCAUAAUGCCUUUUAUCUCUGGGGAGCUUGGGUAGGAGGUAGAACCAGAAGUGAGAAGAUUUCUCCUUCAUUGUAUAUCUUAAAAUAUUUUUUUGUGUUUACUAUGUAUACUUGUGACUUCCUGAUUAAAAAAAAUGAAUGUUUUAACCAUCUGUCCAUUCAAAUGAAAGAUUAGCUUUGAUUCGUGUGUGAGAUGCAAUGUUUAAAAGCCCACGUGUGAGAGAUAAACAUUCAGCAAUGAUGUGAGGCUGGUAUUGCAGGGCUGCUGUGGACGCUGGUCCCUGGGACUCUGCACUCGGGUCGGGGGGGCCCCCACAGGGCGAAGCCCUCAGCACACGGCCGAGCACGUACGAGGACAGAGGACUGAAUGCAAGGACUUGUCUUGAGGAAUUAUGGGCUAAUCUCUGAGUCAUUCUCCUCCUUUGUGCUGUUACAUCUUUCUAAUAAAACAGAAAGAGAGAAACACAUUUUGGGAGAUUUAAAGUCAGCAGCUCAGAGAACCAAAAAGAUAGAAGCAGACAGAGGGAGGUGGGCAGGGAGAGGACGUGGCAUUCAAUAAAGAGCAGCAGCUUUGGCCGACACCUGUCCUUCCUGAUGACACCUUCUCCUCAGCCGUCCCUCAUUCCAGGCCAUGUCCCCGCUCCAGUCGCCCCUGACCCUGACCAUUUCCUUCAUUUGUCCUUGCCUUCUCUGAAAGGUCAGUGCUGAGUUUUAGGACUGGUUAUGUGCAACACUAAAUUUUGACAGCAGGAUAAAUGCUGGCACACUCUGUUAUGGUUAGGAUAACAGUGUCCCCCAGAGGCUCCUGGUGAUGAAGGUUUGGUUGCCAGCAGAUAGAUUGGAUUAUGAGAACUUCAACUUCAUAAAGUGGAUCAAUCCAUUCAUGACCGUAAUUUGAUGACCUUACGGGAGCUGAUGGAAACAGGAGGUUGGGCCUGAUUGAGGGGAGUGGAUCGGGUGGGGUUGGGGACCACAUCCAGUCCCAGACCCUUUGCCUCAGGCUCAUUCCCACUCUGCAUCCUGUGGUCCUGAGGUGAGGCGCUUUCCUCCGCCACACCCUUCCGUCCUGACGUUUCUCUUCACCAUAGGCCUCAGGCAUUACAGUCAGAUAACCAUGGACUGAAACCUCCGAAACCGUA